Small nucleolar RNA from Polyodon spathula (Mississippi paddlefish), 64 nucleotides. RefSeq annotates it as small nucleolar RNA SNORD75. Lineage: Eukaryota; Metazoa; Chordata; Actinopteri; Acipenseriformes; Polyodontidae. The record is from RefSeq and is a predicted model, not a curated record. The transcript has a single exon.
AGCCUAUGAUGAUUUUUAAAGAGUAGUGGUCAGAAGUCAUUUCUGAAAUCUUAAUACUGAGGCU